This is a long non-coding RNA of Lactuca sativa (garden lettuce), 605 nucleotides long. RefSeq lists it as uncharacterized. The record is from RefSeq and is a predicted model, not a curated record. Lineage: Eukaryota; Viridiplantae; Streptophyta; Magnoliopsida; Asterales; Asteraceae.
AUUAGUAUAAUUGGAAUUACACAUUAGAUUACUUAGGGGAAAAAUCAGCCUACAAAUUAGUCAAAUUAAACAUUACAUAAUAUGAUGCCCUCCCGUACUUAACCUAAACCCACCGGGUUUCUUCCUAGUUGACUGGAAUCCAACCGAUUGCCGCCGACUGUGGCUUCUUUCCCAACCCUAAUGACAAGAUCAGAGGCACACGACCCUGUGUGUGUGACCUCUAGCAGACGAGUUGUUCUACCUUCAUACUCGUCGUUUUCUCUUGUUGUAAUCGAAGGGCACGUUGUUUAUCAAACUACAUACAAUGUUUAUCAAACUACACAAACCGCAAUAAAUAUGCGGGCUUAUAAGUUUCGAGUCUAAACCGAGAACAUCCUUACUAAGCUUUAGUGGGAAGUGCAGGUUGAAGAGACAAUCUGAUAAGGACUCGCAGCUCUGUGUGUGACGCAGUUAGCCACCAAUCAGUGGCACAUUAUGGUAAAAGUAGGUCUUUCUUGGCCAUUAUUUAUUAAAUUAAUCCUUGAUAGCGAAUGAUUAGCUUUUCUAUAAAAAAAAGCAACCCUUUUAUAUUUAAUUUGCAAUGCUAAAGCCCAUGAGUUAUUAUG